This 220-nucleotide ribosomal RNA is filed under the name Clostridium botulinum. RNAcentral describes it as "partial 16S ribosomal RNA". It matches the Rfam family "Bacterial small subunit ribosomal RNA", at positions 1321 to 1533 of the family's 1533-position model. The record is from RNAcentral. Lineage: Bacteria; Bacillati; Bacillota; Clostridia; Eubacteriales; Clostridiaceae.
UGAAGCUGGAGUUGCUAGUAAUCGCGAAUCAGAAUGUCGCGGUGAAUACGUUCCCGGGCCUUGUACACACCGCCCGUCACACCAUGAGAGCUGGUAACACCCGAAGUCCGUGAGGUAACCGUAAGGAACCAGCGGCCGAAGGUGGGAUUAGUGAUUGGGGUGAAGUCGUAACAAGGUAGCCGUAGGAGAACCUGCGGCUGGAUCACCUCCUUUCUAAGGA